AUUGAACGCUGGCGGCAGGCCUAACACAUGCAAGUUGAACGGUAGCACAGAGAGCUUGCUCUCGGGUGACGAGUGGCGGACGGGUGAGUAACGUCUGGGAAACUGCCCGAUGGAGGGGGAUAACUACUGGAAACGGUAGCUAAUACCGCAUAACGUCGCAAGACCAGAGUGGGGGACCUUCGGGCCUCACACCAUCGGAUGUGCCCAGAUGGGAUUAGCUAGUAGGUGGGGUAAUGGCUCACCUAGGCGACGAUCCCUAGCUGGUCUGAGAGGAUGACCAGCCACACUGGAACUGAGACACGGUCCAGACUCCUACGGGAGUCAGCAGUGGGGAAUAUUGCACAAUGGGCGCAAGCCUGAUGCAGCCAUGCCGCGUGUAUGAAGAAGGCCUUCGGGUUGUAAAGUACUUUCAGCGGGGAGGAAGGCGGUGAAGUUAAUAGCUUCACCGAUUGACGUUACCCGCAGAAGAAGCACCGGCUAACUCCGUGCCAGCAGCCGCCGUAA
This 504-nucleotide ribosomal RNA is filed under the name uncultured bacterium. Its description in RNAcentral is "partial 16S ribosomal RNA". It matches the Rfam family "Bacterial small subunit ribosomal RNA", at positions 30 to 523 of the family's 1533-position model. The record is from RNAcentral.